CUCCAUCCUGGCAGGAGGGACUCAGAGGCUGCCCCGUUGUCUGGGGGUGGCCCUGGCGAAAGAGCUCAUCUUCACGGGCCGACGACUGAGUGGAACAGAGGCCCACGCACUGGGGCUGGUGAAUCACGCUGUGGCCCAGAACGAGGAGGGGGACGCCGCCUACCAGCGGGCACGAGCACUGGCCCAGGAGAUCCUGCCCCAGGCCCCCAUUGCUGUGCGGCUGGGCAAAGUAGCCAUUGACCGAGGAAUAGAGGUGAGAGGGUUUUGGGUUGGGACUUGGGUCCACUAAAGUUGGUCAUGGCUGGCACGCAGUGCUUUCAGAGCUCAGACAGACAGCACAGCUGGAAAGAACUCAGGAAGUGGACUCUUCUAACAGACUUUGACUCUGACCUCGUGCUCUACCUCAGUUUACACAUCUGCAGAUUGGAAGUUUGGCCAGACGAUAUUAUUGUUUACAUUCUAUCCUCAUCUUUCUCUCUUGGAGAGAGGAUGAGAUUGAGGUUAAGAAGGGGUAAAUGAUUUGCCCAAGGUCUCAGAGAAAGUGAGUAGAAAGAACCCGGGUCUGUGUGGCUGCCAGUCCAUGCUGCAAGAUUUGUGCUGGCAGUAAUGUGGCCUCAGGGCAGGGCUUGGGGUGAUGCCUUGGGUGUAGCUAAUCCAUCUGUCUACCUCAACUCUCCCAUCUAGUCAAUCAUCACACACUGAAUCGAGACCAAAGCUGGGAAUUGGGUACAGAUGGAUGAGUUAAACAUGGUCACUGCCCCCAGGAGGGGGCAGAUACAGACACAAAUCAAGGAUAAUGGUACCACGCUGACACCCCAGAGAGGUUAGAGCUUUGCAGUCCAUUAUGAUAUCCAUGUGUGGCUUUUAAAUUAAAAGUAAAAUGUGGCCAGGCGUGGUGGCUCAUGCCUGUAGUCCCAGCACUUUGGGAGGCUGAGGCAGGUGGAUCACGAGGUCAGGAGAUCGAGACCAUCCUGGCUAACACAGUGAAACCCCGUCUCUACUAAAAAUACAAAAAAUUAGCCGGGCGUGAUGGCGGGCACCUGUAGUCCCAGCUACUCGGGAGGCUGAGGCAGGAGAAUCGCUUGAACCCAGGAGGCGGAGCUUGCAGUCAGCAGAGAUCGCGCCACUGCACUCCAGCCUGGGCGACAGAGCGAGACUCUGUCUCAAAAUAAAUGAAUGAAUAAAUAAAUAAAUAAAUAAAAUAAAAUGUUCAGUUUCUCCUUCACACUAAUCACAGUUCAAGUGCUUGACAUUCACGUGUGGCUAGUGGCUACCAUACUGGGCAGUGCUGGGUUAAAGAAUGUUUUCUACAGUUGGACUGUGGGAAGGAUAAGAAUUCCAGAGGAAAAGUAAAGUAUGGGCAAAGGCACAGAGGAGGAUAAGCAAGCAGCUCUUCCAAAUGAGAGCGAGGGAAGAAAACAGUGUGCAAGUUCGAGGCACUGGGCUGUCUGGGUUCAAAGACCUGCUCUUCCACAUACUGUUGUGAACUUUGACAAAUUAUUUCACCUUUCUAUGCCUCAGGUUUCUCAGCUGUAGAAUAGGGAUACUAACCCUUGCUGUGAAAAUUAAGUUCACACACAUGGUACUUCUUAGAAUGAGGCUUUUAAGUGCCAGUCAGUGGGCCCUAGAGGCUGGAGCAAUUGCCAGGGCCCAGGUCAUAAAGGUUCGGGAAUUAAUGGGUGACAGGAAGCGUGGUGAGGCAGCCAGAUGGGAAGGAGAACUCCUCUUCUCUGGCAAAAUGUCUCAGUCUGUCUCUUGUUUCUCCCAGCACUGUUUUGUCAUAGUUAUGAAUGGUGUUUCUUCUCUAGGAAGGAAAUGCCUUCUCAUAGCUAUCUCUGCCCAUAUAGAUGUCUGUAGGCAAUAGGGUGGGCUGGCUUCCAGUGUGGGUGAAGAUGGACAAGGUCAGACCAAUCCAGGGAGCACGCUGUCUUUCUUGCAGGUGGACAUUGUAUCCGGGAUGGCCAUUGAAGGGAUGUGCUAUGCCCAGAACAUUCCAACCCGGGACCGGCUAGAGGGCAUGGCAGCCUUCAGGGAGAAGCGGCCCCCCAAAUUUGUUGGCAAAUGACCCCCAUUUUAACCUUCAGCAUGGGAGAUGCAUGCCCUGAAGAGCAGGAUCCAGAAGGAAGAUUUGUGGCCGAAUUUACUUCAUCAUUUCACCUCUCCAGGCUUCCGUUUCUUCACAAGGAUGAUGAUGGAGAUAAAAUGACUGGCGUGAUGCCUGGAACCAAGGUGCUGAUCCUACCACCUACUGCUACCUUCCUUAGCUUCACCCUGGCUAGAAAUAAUCACGAGGGUUGGGUUUGCUUUGGAAAAUGCCGUCUCUCUACUUGAAUGAUAAAGAAUUAAAUUAGA
Molecule: small RNA, 2352 nt
Filed under: Pongo abelii (Sumatran orangutan)
Lineage: Eukaryota; Metazoa; Chordata; Mammalia; Primates; Hominidae
Description: retained intron
Source: RNAcentral